GUAAUGCGUGACCAACCUGCCCCAUGCUCCAGAAUAGCUCUUGGAAACGGGUGGUAAUGCUGGAUGCUCCAACUUGACGCAUGUCUUGUUGGGAAAGUGUUUAGUGGCAUGGGAUGGGGUCGCGUCCUAUCAGCUUGUAGGCGGGGUAAUGGCCCACCUAGGCUUCGACGGGUAGCCGGCCUGAGAGGGCGGACGGCCACAUUGGGACUGAGAUACGGCCCAGACUCCUACGGGAGGCAGCAGGU
This 245-nucleotide ribosomal RNA is filed under the name uncultured Gardnerella sp. Its description in RNAcentral is "partial 16S ribosomal RNA". It matches the Rfam family "Bacterial small subunit ribosomal RNA", at positions 110 to 354 of the family's 1533-position model. The record is from RNAcentral. Lineage: Bacteria; Bacillati; Actinomycetota; Actinomycetes; Bifidobacteriales; Bifidobacteriaceae.